This 71-nucleotide transfer RNA is filed under the name Serrivomer beanii (Bean's sawtoothed eel). RNAcentral's name for it is "tRNA-Val". It matches the Rfam family "tRNA". Rfam says of the family: Transfer RNA (tRNA) molecules are approximately 80 nucleotides in length. Their secondary structure includes four short double-helical elements and three loops (D, anti-codon, and T loops). Further hydrogen bonds mediate the characteristic L-shaped molecular structure. tRNAs have two regions of fundamental functional importance: the anti-codon, which is responsible for specific mRNA codon recognition, and the 3' end, to which the tRNAs corresponding amino acid is attached (by aminoacyl-tRNA synthetases). tRNAs cope with the degeneracy of the genetic code in two manners: having more than one tRNA (with a specific anti-codon) for a particular amino acid; and 'wobble' base-pairing, i.e. permitting non-standard base-pairing at the 3rd anti-codon position. The record is from RNAcentral. Lineage: Eukaryota; Metazoa; Chordata; Actinopteri; Anguilliformes; Serrivomeridae.
UAGAAUAUAGCUAAAAAGAAGAGCAUCUCCCUUACACUGAGAAGAUAUUCGUGCAAGUCGAGUUAUUCUAA